RNAcentral lists this long non-coding RNA (527 nucleotides) under Bos taurus (domestic cattle). Its description in RNAcentral is "long non-coding RNA NONBTAT016529". Lineage: Eukaryota; Metazoa; Chordata; Mammalia; Artiodactyla; Bovidae. The record is from RNAcentral.
CUUUAUUGAGGGCAAUUUGUACCUUUCUCUCCAAUUCCAGGAAAAAGAUCCUUCAUCAACUUUGGUUUAGUAUCUGAAAAAUGGCUUUGGACUUAUCUUGUAAAUUUCAAUGAUAUGGGCCAUCUGCUCCAUGUGAUAGUAUAAAGGUGGUGAUUUAUUCCAGGGCCUUUAUCAUAUGAAUAAAACACAACUCAGAUUUGCAUCAAAAAGCAAAACCAAAAUUAAUUAUACAGUGAGAUGAAUAAAAACACAAAUUUUCCAACAUCUUAAUGAAGUAGAGGUAGGCCUCCACUGAUUACGUUUCAAAUCAGAUUCAAGUCAGGUUAACUAGGGUUUUUAUAACUUACAUGAAAUUAAAACAAAAAAGUACAAAAAAAUCUAAUGAGAUUCUCCAACAGAAUAAAGUAUCUGUCAAUAUAUGCCACAAUCACUAAGUUAAAACUGGAUGCAAACAAAUAAAAAUCAAGUCAUUUUAAAAGUACCAAAUAAUCUGGGAAUAAGCUGAAAACUCUGAUAAAAACAUUGGG